CUGAGGGGAGCAGCGAAGGCUAUCAUGUCCUGUUCCCCCUUUCUCAAGAUGCAGCAACACUUGCAAGUUCCUUCCUCCUCUUCUCUCCCCUCUCUCUUUUCUUUUGCUUUCCGAAUUUUAAAUCUCUGACCUAAAAGCAUCUGGUCCCUUUCGAGUUCCCCUGAAUCUUCUGAUUGUCACUCAGACUCCAGACCACAAUUCCAUGUGCAGUCGAGAUGGCGUCUUCUCCCACUACAACUUCUGCAUUCGGUGUGGAACCCGGCUACCUCCGGAUGUGGGAGUUGACCCUAAGAGCAAUACAAGAAGAAAUAUCCUGUGUUCCCUGGAAGAUAGCUCUCCGCUCAAGGCCACCUCUGGGACUGUGCCCUGGACAUACUCAGCUUGACACGCUCUUGUGCUACGUCCUAAGAGGCAAGAGAAUCUUCCACCUAACACUUUGUGUCAUUUCUAGGUCAAACACUUCAGAGCUUCCUUACCAAGUACGCUGAGAUGAAGUUAUUGUUGAAUCUGUUGAAAGAAAUGCUGGAUGAACUCGACUCCAGGGAGGAGACAAAAAAGGUGAAGAAGCUGGGACACAGUCUAAAGCCACAGGAGGCACCCUCGAGCUGACACAGCCUUUUCUGCCUGCUUCUGAGAUGCUACUA
Molecule: long non-coding RNA, 644 nt
Filed under: Heterocephalus glaber (naked mole-rat)
Lineage: Eukaryota; Metazoa; Chordata; Mammalia; Rodentia; Bathyergidae
Description: lncRNA (ENSHGLG00000044803.1)
Source: RNAcentral